CUUUUGAGACAACCCCUCCCUUCAGCCCCGCGCCGGGGCCGGCUCGAAGGCGGAGAAAGGCGCCACGCUACCCAUCCCCGCCCUCCUCGCCCCCACGCCGCGAUUCAGGACAAGUCCGGAGUCCCCGCCCCUGGCGGGGUCGGCCUCGGGGGCUCUGAGGGCGGCCCGGCCAGGCCCACCUCUAUCCCUUCCUCUUUCGUUUCCCACGCGGCGUUCGAGGAAGGGGCCGGGCGGCCUGGCAUCCCCGCGCCAGUCUCCACCGAGGGGGACGCCGGGAGGGGCGGUGACUCCAAGCGCGCCCCCAGUCGCCCCACGCACCGGUCGGCCUGGGGGCUGAGCCCCUGCCCCUACCCUCGCACGUGGGCAGCGCUGAGUCUGCGCCGCGGCCCCUCCCCAGCGGCUGUCAAUCCCCGGGAGUCGCCACGGCCCCCGCCGCCCGCGCGGACCGCCCAGCGCCCACCUCCGCCGAGGGCGGACGGAUGCGCUCCCCGCCGCGGGGAACCCGAGUCCGACGCCUCUCCACCCCAAGCAGUCAAACACACACCUCGUCUGGGACGCGGCGCUCCGAGAGGCUUCCAGCCCGGAUCCCGCUGGGCGGCGCCGCCUCCGCCCGCCCCCACUCCGAGCCCCAGCCGGCCGCGCGGGACUCGCGCCUUACGUAAGCCGGGGAGACCGGCUCCGCGCGAGCUGUCGGCCGGCGCCCCCUCCCCUUCCCGCCGCUCGGCUCCCACUCCGCCCUCCCAGCCCACGUGCUCCCCACCACCCUGCGGGGGGCGCCAGGACUCAGACCCACCUCUUGCACUCGCCCGGGGACCCCGUUUUUACUGUCAAGGGGAAGGAAAAAUACAACUUGUUGAGUGCCUACUAUGCGUCAAGUUCAGGGCUAGUGGUUUCCUUACGCAACAACCGUUCCAGAUAUUCACAGAUGAGGAAAGGAGGCUUGGAGUAUCGCCAUUCAUUCAACAAACGUUUGUUGAUCUCCUACCGUGUUCCAGACACUGUUUUAGGCGCUUGGCAUAUAGCUGUGAAUCAAAGAGGCGGAAUCUUGCCCAGAGUGCAGCGGGAGUUUUGAACCCUCAUCUGCAUGGCUCCAAAGCCCAGGCUCUUUGGGGAAGAAGGAAGGAGGAAAUGGUCACUCACCUGGGCUCGGGUUUUUAG
RNAcentral lists this long non-coding RNA (1158 nucleotides) under Felis catus (domestic cat). Its description in RNAcentral is "lncRNA (ENSFCAG00000053772.1)". Lineage: Eukaryota; Metazoa; Chordata; Mammalia; Carnivora; Felidae. The record is from RNAcentral.